This 496-nucleotide ribosomal RNA is filed under the name uncultured bacterium. RNAcentral describes it as "partial 16S ribosomal RNA". It matches the Rfam family "Bacterial small subunit ribosomal RNA", at positions 30 to 523 of the family's 1533-position model. The record is from RNAcentral.
AUUGAACGCUGGCGGAAUGCUUUACACAUGCAAGUCGAACGGUAGAGGGGGCAACCCCUCGAGAGUGGCGAACGGGUGAGUAAUAUAUCGGAACGUGCCCAGUCGUGGGGGAUAACGUAGCGAAAGUUACGCUAAUACCGCAUACGAUCUAAGGAUGAAAGCGGGGGAUCGCAAGACCUCGCGCGAUUGAAGCGGCCGAUAUCAGAUUAGGUAGUUGGUGGGGUAAAGGCUCGCCAAGCCAACGAUCUGUAGCUGGUCUGAGAGGACGACCAGCCACACUGGAACUGAGACACGGUCCAGACUCCUACGGGAGGCAGCAGUGGGGAAUUUUGGACAAUGGACGCAAGUCUGAUCCAGCCAUUCCGCGUGCAGGAUGAAGGCCCUCGGGUUGUAAACUGCUUUUGUACGGAACGAAAAGGUCUCUCUUAAUACGGGGGACUCAUGACGGUACCGUAAGAAUAAGCACCGGCUAACUACGUGCCAGCCGCCGCAGUAA